CCCCGGUAAACGGCGGCCGUAACUAUAACGGUCCUAAGGUAGCGAAAUUCCUUGUCGGGUAAGUUCCGACCUGCACGAAUGGCGUAAUGAUGGCCAGGCUGUCUCCACCCGAGACUCAGUGAAAUUGAACUCGCUGUGAAGAUGCAGUGUACCCGCGGCAAGACGGAAAGACCCCGUGAACCUUUACUAUAGCUUGACACUGAACAUUGAGCCUUGAUGUGUAGGAUAGGUGGGAGGCUUUGAAGUGUGGACGCCAGUCUGCAUGGAGCCGACCUUGAAAUACCACCCUUUAAUGUUUGAUGUUCUAACGUGGACCCGUAAUCCGGGUUGCGGACAGUGUCUGGUGGGUAGUUUGACUGGGGCGGUCUCCUCCUAAAGAGUAACGGAGGAGCACGAAGGUUGGCUAAUCCUGGUCGGACAUCAGGAGGUUAGUGCAAUGGCAUAAGCCAGCUUGACUGCGAGCGUGACGGCGCGAGCAGGUGCGAAAGCAGGUCAUAGUGAUCCGGUGGUUCUGAAUGGAAGGGCCAUCGCUCAACGGAUAAAAGGUACUCCGGGGAUAACAGGCUGAUACCGCCCAAGAGUUCAUAUCGACGGCGGUGUUUGGCACCUCGAUGUCGGCUCAUCACAUCCUGGGGCUGAAGUAGGUCCCAAGGGUAUGGCUGUUCGCCAUUUAAAGUGGUACGCGAGCUGGGUUUAGAACGUCGUGAGACAGUUCGGUCCCUAUCUGCCGUGGGCGCUGGAGAACUGAGGGGGGCUGCUCCUAGUACGAGAGGACCGGAGUGGACGCAUCACUGGUGUUCGGGUUGUCAUGCCAAUGGCACUGCCCGGUAGCUAAAUGCGGAAGAGAUAAGUGCUGAAAGCAUCUAAGCACGAAACUUGCCCCGAGAUGAGUUCUCCCUGAGACUUAGAGUCUCCUGAAGGAACGUUGAAGACGACGACGUUGAUAGGCCGGGUGUGUAAGCGCAG
Molecule: ribosomal RNA, 966 nt
Filed under: Salmonella enterica subsp. enterica serovar Typhimurium
Lineage: Bacteria; Pseudomonadati; Pseudomonadota; Gammaproteobacteria; Enterobacterales; Enterobacteriaceae
Description: partial 23S ribosomal RNA
Rfam family: Bacterial large subunit ribosomal RNA
Source: RNAcentral